This 454-nucleotide ribosomal RNA is filed under the name uncultured bacterium. RNAcentral's name for it is "partial 16S ribosomal RNA". It matches the Rfam family "Bacterial small subunit ribosomal RNA", at positions 28 to 507 of the family's 1533-position model. The record is from RNAcentral.
GAUGAACGCUGACAGAAUGCUUAACACAUGCAAGUCCACUUGAACUUCGGUUUGGGUGGCGGACGGGUGAGUAACGCGUAACGAACUUGCCUCACAGUUAGGGACAACAUUUGGAAACGAAUGCUAAUACCUGAUAUUAUGAUUUUAGGGCAUCCUAGAAUUAUGAAAGCUAUAUGCGCUGUGAGAGAGCUUUGCGUCCCAUUAGCUAGUUGGAGAGGUAACGGCUCACCAAGGCGAUGAUGGGUAGCCGGCCUGAGAGGGUGAACGGCCACAAGGGGACUGAGACACGGCCCUUACUCCUACGGGAGGCAGCAGUGGGGAAUAUUGGACAAUGGACCAAGAGUCUGAUCCAGCAAUUCUGUGCGCACGAUGAAGUUUUUCGGAAUGUAAAGUGCUUUCAGUUGGGAAGAAAAAAAUGACGAUACCAACAGAAGAAGUGACGGCUAAAUACGUG